Molecule: ribosomal RNA, 468 nt
Filed under: uncultured bacterium
Lineage: Bacteria
Description: partial 16S ribosomal RNA
Rfam family: Bacterial small subunit ribosomal RNA
Source: RNAcentral
GACGAACGCUGGCGGCGUGCUUAACACAUGCAAGUCGAACGGAAAGGCCCUGCUUUUGUGGGGUGCUCGAGUGGCGAACGGGUGAGUAACACGUGAGUAACCUGCCCUUGACUUUGGGAUAACUUCAGGAAACUGGGGCUAAUACCGGAUAGGAGCUCCUGCUGCAUGGUGGGGGUUGGAAAGUUUCGGCGGUUGGGGAUGGACUCGCGGCUUAUCAGCUUGUUGGUGGGGUAGUGGCUUACCAAGGCUUUGACGGGUAGCCGGCCUGAGAGGGUGACCGGCCACACUGGGACUGAGCUACGGCACAGACUCCUACGGGAGGCAGCAGUGGGGAAUAGUGCACAAUGGGCGGAAGCCUAAUGCAGCAACGCAGCGCGCGGGAUGACGGCAUUCGGGUUGUAAACCGCUUUCGCCUGUGACGAAGCGUGAGUGACGGUAAUGGGUAAAGAAGCACCGGCUAACUACGUG